Molecule: long non-coding RNA, 1488 nt
Filed under: Olea europaea subsp. europaea
Lineage: Eukaryota; Viridiplantae; Streptophyta; Magnoliopsida; Lamiales; Oleaceae
Source: RNAcentral
CUUGUAAAUAAUAUGCAUUGUGCACGUAUUACACGUCCACUAACUAGGUGACCAAAAACUAGAUAUGGAUAUGACUAUAUACAUAAAAUAUUAAAGGAGGAUCCAGAAAACUUUCGACAAGUUUAUAGAAUGUAUCCAGAUAUAUUUCUAAAAUUAAGCAAUAUCAUUAGAAAAAACACCCUUACAGGAUAUUAGGUAUAUUUGUGUUGAAGAAAUGCUUGCAACGUUCGUACUUAUUGUUGGUCAAAAUACUAGAUAUUGCUUGAUUCGUCAAAAAUUUGGUCGAUCACAUUUCACUACUAGCCAAAGUUUCAACAAGAUUUUACAAACAUUAAACAAAUUUGCGAUAGAUAUGAUGGUCAAACGGGGAUUCGUUGUGCCAGAAAAAUAAGAAAAAGUACAAGAUUUUAUCCUUACUUCAAAGUAUGUGAUGAAAUAAGAUUUAUUAUAAUUUUUGUUUUAUGUUUUCAUUAGUGUUCUCGUGAAUUCUUUGUAUUGUUUUAUUAUUUUUAGGAUGGUAUUGGAGCUAUUGAUGGUACCCAUAUUCCAGCAAUGGUAACUGGGCGUGAUACAAGCAGUUAUAGAAAUCGUCAUGGAAUAAUUUCUCAAAAUGUUUUGGCCGCUUGUAACUUUGAUUUGGAAUUUAUAUACAUGAUUAGUGGGUGGGAGGGAUCAGCCCAUGAUUCUAUAGUGUUGAGUGAUGCUUUAACAAGGAGAAAUUGACUUAAAAUGCCACAAGGUACGGCUUUAUUAUUUUUUUUUUCUUUUAUCUUAUUGUUUCAUAAUUACUUGUUAACUUUACAAGUAUUUUAUAUUUGGGUAAAUAUUUUUUGGGAGACUGUGGAUUUCCAAAUCGACGUCAGUUUUUAACUCUUUUUUGAGGUGUCCGUUAUCAUCUUCAAGAUUUUGUUAGUCAAGGUCGUGACCCUGAAAAUACAAAAGAGUUGUUUAAUUUUCGUCAUGCUUCCUUGAGGAACGUAUUUGAGAGGAUAUUUGGUAUAUUUAAAUCAAGAUUUACAAUUUUCAAAACAGCUCAUCCAUUUUCAUAUUGUACACAAACCGAAAUCGUAUUAUCUUGUGCAGGAUUACACAAUUUUCUCCAGAAAGAAUGUCGAUCCGAUGAAUUUCCAAUCGAACCCGAUAACGAAGAUUCUUCAUCUUUUUCGAUUAAUAAGCGGGAAGACUUUGGACCAUUUUUUGAGAGUCAAGAACAAGAAAGAGAGAAUGCUAAUGUAUGGAGGGCUUCUCUAGCAACGGACAUGUGGAAUGAUGUUGGAAAUGUUUGAUAUUUUUUUUAUCAUUACUAAAAUACUUUUUUUUUAAUAUUUUUAUUAUUUGUUAAUCUACUUGAUAUAAGAUGAAAAAGUACUUUAUGUUUGGCGAAAUAUUUGUUAAUUUUUUUGAAAAAAAUUGACAUGAAAAAUACGAUUUAUUACUUUACAUUUUCAAUUAUAUGAGUUGUGGACGAUUUGAAUAUAUAUAAGAAGU